UUUUAAUUUGUCAACAUUUUUGUGUGUGAGAUCAUGUAAUAAAAGGAGAAUAGGAGAAUCCCUCGUUCAAUCCUUUUGGGUACAAGGUUUGCAGGCGGUAGAUCCAAUAGCAUUCUCUCUUUCUAAUUUGCAGGUCCCAAUUGCCUUUUCUUUGAUCUUGUUUUAUAAGUUCAAUGCCUUGAAAUUUUAAGACAGUAGGGUUUCCUUCAUGAACUGUUUUAACAUGUCUUGAGACCGGAGUCUCUAUGUGUCUUGAAGUCUUUACCGAAUUGAUAUGUUCUAGGAUUCUUCGUCUAAAGGGGCGGAAAGUUUUUCCCACAUAUGACAUCCCACAUUGGCAGGUAAUCAGGUAGACUAAUCCUUUAGAACUACAAUUAAAGAAGGCUGGAGUGUCGAAGUGAAGGCUUCUGGAGCUGUUGUAAAAGGACUU
Pelobates cultripes (western spadefoot toad) is the source of this 430-nucleotide non-coding RNA. The record is from the annotation of a GenBank genome assembly. NCBI's taxonomy places the organism in Eukaryota, Metazoa, Chordata, Amphibia, Anura, Pelobatidae.